AUUUGAAUGGUUUCGGUGAGGUCCCGGUAAGGUCCGGAAGUAUUCGAGCGUUUUCGGUACGCAUAGGCGCUAAAACGGAGCCGAAAGGCCAUGUUGGGCCGUGAGCCAAAUCCGGCAUUAGCGUGGAUGAAAAGAUGAUGAAAAUACGUUCGAAGACAUGUUUGGAGAGUCUCGAUUCAAUUUGAAAAGAAUUAGAGGUCAAACGAGCGAAAACGAGCGAAAACGGAGAAGAAACGGUGAGAAAGCUGAAAAUUUGG
Molecule: long non-coding RNA, 257 nt
Filed under: Ananas comosus (pineapple)
Lineage: Eukaryota; Viridiplantae; Streptophyta; Magnoliopsida; Poales; Bromeliaceae
Description: long non-coding RNA (ACOM_LNC030498)
Source: RNAcentral